GUCGUGCCUGCCUUCCGCUCCCCUGGAAGUGGGCGAGGGGAACAUGGCAACUCUCCCUCCAUGGGGCGCCUGAGCCUCGGGACACCCUGAGCAUGGUGGCCCUGUGCGCUGCAGAGUGGACAGAGGAUGCUGGCCCAUGGGGUACGAGACAGCUCUGCACCGGGACGGCUUUGUCUCUGUUCCCUGGACCCUGAGACAGCAUGGUGACGCUCCCUCAGAAGACCCUGCAGAACAGCCAGGGACCAGGAAGCCAGGACCCUGGUGGGCUGCACCCACCCUUCCAUUCUCAUGUGGCAGGGCCUGGCUGGUCCGCAGGGCCUGCCCCUCCUGGGAGAGCCUGCUCUGACUCAGGAACUGCUUGCCUGUGAGCUCCCCUCUCGUGGAAGCCAGCCUGUCCACAUUCCCCAGCCCUGACCACUCCAGGCCAUUUAUCGGACAUCCAGGGGCAGCCCACACCCUGGAGCUGCUCAGUCAUCAAACCUGCCAAUCCCAGCGGUCGGCCUGUUCUGUCUUCCCCACUCGGUCCCUCUCCAAGGAACCACAGAGAAAGCCAUCUGACAGCCACUGUCCCUCAUGGCAGCUGUCCCCCCUUGAUCUGCUGGUCUCACUACCAUGAUUAAAAUAGAUCCCAGGUACAUCUCAACCACACAUAAUAACAAUGGCAGGUAACUGCAUGCCACACAGCUGCACUGGCUAUCGGGGACCCUGCUGAGAUAACUCAUCCACACAGGCCCAAGUGGACAACCGCCCUGGGUCCCGGGGCCUUUGGACUGAGGAGCAGCCCCAUCUCUGUGUGUCUCACAGACAGCAGCCCCCAGGCCAGGGGAGGGCACAGCAUAGCCCUGUAGACACACCCCAGAGGACAGCAGCACAGACGGCACAGCCAGGAGCUGUGGAGGAAGCUGGCGACUGGCAUGUCACCACAUACCCAGGGCACAGCAAGGUCAGGGCAGCAGGAUGGGGUGAGCCUCCCAGGCCUGAGGGGCAUGCUGGGAGAUCAGGGUAACCACCCUCCCCAAGACACCCUCAAGUUAGGUGUGGGAAGCACUGUCGCGGGCAGUUAGAAGAGGUGUGUUGGGGAGCUGAAGCAAGAAGCACUAGUGUUCCCAGAGGCAGGUUUGGCUGCUGCUCCCAGAGCAAGCCUCUGCCUUCUUGGGCAGGACCGAGUGCUGCACUCGGCAUCCCCAGACCAGUGCUCAGGGCUUGGCAGCACAAUGGGACACUGGACAGACGUGCCUGGCAGCCUGUGGUCAUCUGGAGACGGGAGAGUGUGCACAUCCAGUUAGCCAAUCCAUUCGCUAGGCAUUUGCUGGGGUGGGGCUGCUGGUGUGUUACAGUAGGAACCAGCAACUAUCUAGAAAACCAAGUGUGAAACUGGAAAAAAACUGUAAAGCAAUCAAUUUGGGGUUCAACUGCAUUUGGGGUUCAACUAAAGGCAGAUGACAGAUGGAAAAGCAGUUAUUCUUGAAAACCUCCUACAGUUUUGGGUGAGCAGGGGGGCUGUGGAGAGGACAGCAGUCCUGGGCAGGGUGCCAGAGGCCGUGGGCUCAAGGCAGGAGGAAGCACUUCUGUAGGACAUGGCCUUAGCUGAGGAGGGCAAGGCCAGCCUGGGAAACUGUGAAGAUCAGAGGAGACACUCCCCACGCCACAGUAGUGGGCAGGGCCAGCAGGUGUGAACUGGGCCUCCAUCCCCACAUCUCAUCAGGGUGCAGCCUUAGGGACACAGCUGCUGAAGCAAGUCUCAGACAAGCCCCUCCUGGCCCCUAACUUCUAAGGCAGGGGAAACCAGGAGGACACAGGACCAUGGCAGGUCCACGUCCGUGGCUCAGUGCCGAGCAAGUGCAUGGCCCUCACGCUCAUCUCAACAGGCGCAGAGAAAACAUCUGGGAGAUCAAGGACCACCCUUGCACAGGCAUCUCCAAGAAACCCAAUG
Molecule: long non-coding RNA, 1933 nt
Filed under: Marmota monax (woodchuck)
Lineage: Eukaryota; Metazoa; Chordata; Mammalia; Rodentia; Sciuridae
Source: RNAcentral